RNAcentral lists this ribosomal RNA (263 nucleotides) under uncultured bacterium. RNAcentral describes it as "partial 16S ribosomal RNA". It matches the Rfam family "Bacterial small subunit ribosomal RNA", at positions 524 to 786 of the family's 1533-position model. The record is from RNAcentral.
UACGGAGGAUGCAAGCGUUAUCCGGAUUUAUUGGGUUUAAAGGGUGCGCAGGCGGACUAAUAAGUCAGUGGUGAAAUUUACAUGCUUAACAUGUGACGUGCCAUUGAUACUGUUAGACUAGUAUACAAAUGACGUAGCUGGAAUGUGUUAUGUAGCGGUGAAAUGCAUAGAUAUAACACAGAACACCGAUCGUGAAGACAGGUUACGAAUUUGUGAUAGACGCUCAUGCACGAAAGCGUGGGGAUCAAACAGGAUUAGAUACC